Molecule: unclassified non-coding RNA, 226 nt
Filed under: Hevea brasiliensis (rubber tree)
Lineage: Eukaryota; Viridiplantae; Streptophyta; Magnoliopsida; Malpighiales; Euphorbiaceae
Source: RNAcentral
GGGAUAAUGGCCUAUAGCAGACAUUUCUACAACGUUAUUCUUCUCAUCUCUCUUUCUCAGAUUCUUUCUUUGUUAGUGUGUCCAUGAAUCCGCUCUUGUUGGCUUCUUUUUCUAGUACCACUACUGCUGCUGCUGCUGUUACUAAAACUGCUACAACUGCUAUUGACCUUAUAAUUCUCCAUUUGUUGCCACCUGGGUUUCAUAAACUAGAUUUGUGAGAAGUUGG